This 861-nucleotide ribosomal RNA is filed under the name Diaporthales sp. nc_besc_890a. RNAcentral's name for it is "eukaryotic LSU rRNA". The stretch from base 503 to 861 matches the Rfam family "Eukaryotic large subunit ribosomal RNA", at positions 1 to 364 of the family's 3401-position model. The record is from RNAcentral. Lineage: Eukaryota; Fungi; Ascomycota; Sordariomycetes; Diaporthales.
GGGAUCAUUGCUGGAACGCGCCCCAGGCGCACCCAGAAACCCUUUGUGAACUUAUACCUUACUGUUGCCUCGGCGCACGCCGGCCCCCAGGGGCCCCUCGGAGACGAGGAGCAGGCACGCCGGCGGCCAAGUUAACUCUUGUUUUUACACUGAAACUCUGAGAAAAAAAACAAAAUGAAUCAAAACUUUCAACAACGGAUCUCUUGGUUCUGGCAUCGAUGAAGAACGCAGCGAAAUGCGAUAAGUAAUGUGAAUUGCAGAAUUCAGUGAAUCAUCGAAUCUUUGAACGCACAUUGCGCCCUCCGGUAUUCCGGAGGGCAUGCCUGUUCGAGCGUCAUUUCAACCCUCAAGCACUGCUUGGUGUUGGGGCACUGCCUUUUUCCGGAAGGCAGGCCCUGAAAUUCAGUGGCGAGCUCGCCAGGACCCCGAGCGCAGUAGUUAAACCCUCGCUUUGGAAGGCCCUGGCGGUGCCCUGCCGUUAAACCCCCAACUCUUGAAAAUUUGACCUCGGAUCAGGUAGGAAUACCCGCUGAACUUAAGCAUAUCAAUAAGCGGAGGAAAAGAAACCAACAGGGAUUGCCCUAGUAACGGCGAGUGAAGCGGCAACAGCUCAAAUUUGAAAUCUGGCCUCGGCCCGAGUUGUAAUUUGCAGAGGAUGCUUCUGGCGCGGUGCCUUCCGAGUUCCCUGGAACGGGACGCCACAGAGGGUGAGAGCCCCGUAUGGUCGGACACCAAGCCUGUGUGAAGCUCCUUCGACGAGUCGAGUAGUUUGGGAAUGCUGCUCUAAAUGGGGAGGUAAAUCUCUUCUAAAGCUAAAUACCGGCCAGAGACCGAUAGCGCACAAGUAGAGUGAUCGAAAGA